CACAUGCAAGUCGAACGCCCCGCAAGGGGAGUGGCAGACGGGUGAGUAACGCGUAGGAACGUGCCCAAAGGUACGGAACAACUCCGGGAAACUGGAGCUAAUACCGUAUGUGUCCGUAAGGAGAAAGAUUUAUCGCCUUUGGAUCGGCCCGCGUUAGAUUAGCUAGUUGGUGGGGUAAUGGCCUACCAAGGCGACGAUCUAUAGCUGUUCUGAGAGGAAGAUCAGCCACACUGGGACUGAGACACGGCCCAGACUCCUACGGGAGGCAGCAGUGGGGAAUCUUGGACAAUGGGCGCAAGCCUGAUCCAGCCAUGCCGCGUGAGUGAUGAAGGCCCUAGGGUUGUAAAACUCUUUCGUGGGGGACGAUAAUGACGGUACCCCAAGAAGAAGCUCCGGCUAACUUCGUGCCAGCAGCCGCGGUAAUACGAAGGGGGCUAGCGUUGUUCGGAUUUACUGGGCGUAAAGCGCGUGUAGGCGGAUUUGUAAGUUGGGGGUGAAAU
RNAcentral lists this ribosomal RNA (500 nucleotides) under uncultured bacterium. RNAcentral describes it as "bacterial SSU rRNA". It matches the Rfam family "Bacterial small subunit ribosomal RNA", at positions 52 to 600 of the family's 1533-position model. The record is from RNAcentral.